Molecule: ribosomal RNA, 508 nt
Filed under: uncultured bacterium
Lineage: Bacteria
Description: bacterial SSU rRNA
Rfam family: Bacterial small subunit ribosomal RNA
Source: RNAcentral
GAUCCUGGCUCAGGAUGAACGCUGGCGGCGUGCCUAAUACAUGCAAGUCGAACGAGGUAGCAAUACCGAGUGGCGAACGGGUGAGUAACACGUAGGUAACCUGCCCUUAAGCUUGGGAUACCCAGAGGAACUUGGCUAAUACCGGAUAACAACAGAGAAGGCAGUCUUCUUUGCUUGAAAGGCCCCUUCAAGGGUCACUUAAGGAUGGACCUGCGGCGCAUUAGCUAGUUGGUGAGAUAACAGCCCACCAAGGCGAGGAUGCGUAGCCGAACUGAGAGGUUGAUCGGCCACAUUGGAACUGAGACACGGUCCAAACUCCUACGGGAGGCAGCAGUAAGGAGUUUUCGGCAAUGGGGGAAACCCUGACCGAGCAACGCCGCGUGAGCGAUGACGGCCCUAUGGGUUGUAAAAAGCUCUGUUGUAAGCCAUGAAUGACAGCUUGAGGAAAUGCAAGUUGUUUGACGACAGCUUACCAGAAAGCCACGGCUAACUACGUGCCAGCAGCAGC